RNA transcript from Andrographis paniculata, 894 nucleotides. It is a transcript of the gene named protein CYSTEINE-RICH TRANSMEMBRANE MODULE 11-like, with no coding region annotated. NCBI's taxonomy places the organism in Eukaryota, Viridiplantae, Streptophyta, Magnoliopsida, Lamiales, Acanthaceae. The record is from RefSeq and is a predicted model, not a curated record. The transcript is spliced from 3 exons.
UCUCUCUCUCUCUAUAUAUAUAUACACAAAUUAAUACAUAAUGAAGGAUUUGAUAAAUAUUGAUUAAGAACAAGAGUCCAAAGAAAUGAACGAAGCACCAAAAUAUGCUUCUCCUUAUCCUGCCCACGGUCAGUAUGAGGGGCCGCCGGUGAUGGCGCCUCCGCAGUAUUACGCUGCGCCGCCUCCAUCCAGAAAACCAGGUCUUCUUGAGGGCUGUCUUGCAGCUUUAUGCUGCUGCUGCUUAAUCGACGAGUGCUGCUGCGAUCCCUCUAUCAUCUUCAUCUGCUCCUGAUAAUCUCUUCAUUAUAAUUAAUUAUUAAUUAGUUUAAUUAAAUUUAUAUAUUAUCUAUAAUUAUGUUGUCUAAUUGUAUUUCUGAUUUCUCGAAUAUUUGAAUGAUUCAAUAUAUAUAUAUAUAUAUAAUCACGAGUUUGUUGUAAUUACUGACCGUGAGGUCAUGGGUUCAAACCCCCGACGCCUUAGGUCACCUGCCACACAUAUAGUUAGCCUAGUGUGACUUUCUCGUCGAGCUUGGUUUGCAGGGUAUUAGGUUCGGCCGGGGGUUUACCCAGUGCGCACUUUUGGGUAGCGACUGCGGGUUCCUACGUUAUAAAAAAAAAGAAAAAAUCCGGCAAGCCAUGUUCACGCCACACUGGCAAGUAUCAGUUCCGGUGACGGAGGAUAUCCAUGACUAAAAUGAAAAUUUCUGUAUUGAUUAUUCAUUAGGUGUUAUCAUGGUUGUUUUGUAUUAAUUUUAUCUCAAAAUAAUUGUAAGCUUUAGAAAUUUAAAUAAAUUAUACCAUAUACAAAUGUUAAUAAACAAUUAGCUAGUUACAACAUUAUGGAAUAGUUGAACUUUUCACUGUAAGAAAAAAUCAUUUUUGUAAUAAAAUCUU